This 454-nucleotide ribosomal RNA is filed under the name uncultured bacterium. Its description in RNAcentral is "partial 16S ribosomal RNA". It matches the Rfam family "Bacterial small subunit ribosomal RNA", at positions 28 to 507 of the family's 1533-position model. The record is from RNAcentral.
GAUGAACGCUGACAGAAUGCUUAACACAUGCAAGUCAACUUGAACUUCGGUUUGGGUGGCGGACGGGUGAGUAACGCGUAAAGAACUUGCCUCACAGAUAGGGACAACAUUUGGAAACGAAUGCUAAUACCUGAUAUUAUGAUUUUAGGGCAUCCUAGGAUUAUGAAAGCUAUAUGCGCUGUGAGAGAGCUUUGCGUCCCAUUAGCUAGUUGGAGAGGUAACGGCUCACCAAGGCGAUGAUGGGUAGCCGGCCUGAGAGGGUGAUCGGCCACAAGGGGACGGAGACACGGCCCUUACUCCUACGGGAGGCAGCAGUGGGGAAUAUUGGACAAUGGACCAAGAGUCUGAUCCAGCAAUUCUGUGUGCACGAUGAAGUUUUUCGGAAUGUAAAGUGCUUUCAGUUGGGAAGAAAAAAAUGACGGUACCAACAGAAGAAGUGACGGCUAAAUACGUG